AACGAACGCUGGCGGCGUGGAUAAGACAUGCAAGUCGAACGCUCGUUUCAGGGUAGCAAUAUUCUGGGGCGGGAGUGGCGCAAGGGUGCGUAACACGUGGGUCAUUUGCCGUGAAGCUGGGGAUAACUCGUUGAAAGACGAGCUAAUACCCAAUGUGCUCCGCAAGGAGUAAAGCCGGGGACCGCAAGGCCUGGCACUUUACGAUAAGCCCGCGGCCUAUUAGCUAGUUGGCGGGGUAACGGCCCACCAAGGCUAAGACGGGUAGCUGGUCUGAGAGGACGACCAGCCACACUGGAACUGAGACACGGUCCAGACACCUACGGGUGGCAGCAGUCGAGAAUUUUUCACAAUGGGCGAAAGCCUGAUGGAGCGACGCCGCGUGGGGGAUGAAGGGCUUCGGCUCGUAAACCCCUGUCAUUUGCGAACAAAGGCGCCGACCUAACACGUCGUCGUCUGAUAGUAGCAGAAGAGGAAGGGACGGCUAACUCUGUGCCAGCAGCCGCGGUAAUACAGAGGUCCCAAGCGUUGUUCGGAUUCACUGGGCGUAAAGGGUGCGUAGGUGGUGGACUAAGUCGGGUGUGAAAUCUCCGGGCUCAACCCGGAGGGUGCGCCCGAAACUGGUCUGCUAGAGGAUAGGAGGGGAGACUGGAAUUCUCGGUGUAGCAGUGAAAUGCGUAGAUAUCGAGAGGAACACCCGUGGCGAAGGCGAGUCUCUGGACUAUUCCUGACACUGAGGCACGAAAGCCGGGG
RNAcentral lists this ribosomal RNA (750 nucleotides) under uncultured bacterium. RNAcentral describes it as "bacterial SSU rRNA". It matches the Rfam family "Bacterial small subunit ribosomal RNA", at positions 28 to 765 of the family's 1533-position model. The record is from RNAcentral.